CGCUAAUACCGAAUGUGGUAUGUUUGGGCAUCUAAAUUAUAUUAAAGAAGGGGAUCUUCGGACCUUUCGGUUGUGAGAAAGUCUAUGGGAUAUCAGCUUGUUGGUGGGGUAAUGGCCUACCAAGGCUACGACGUCUAGGCGGAUUGAGAGAUUGACCGCCAACACUGGGACUGAGACACUGCCCAGACUCCUACGGGAGGCUGCAGUCGAGAAUCUUUCGCAAUGGACGAAAGUCUGACGAAGCGACGCCGCGUGUGUGAUGAAGGCUCUAGGGUUGUAAAGCACUUUCGCCUGGGAAUAAGAGAAGUUGGCUAAUAUCCAACUAAUUUGAACGUACCAGGUAAAGAAGCACCGGCUAACUCCGUGCCAGCAGCUGCGGUAAUACGGAGGGUGCUAGCGUUAAUCGGAUUUAUUGGGCGUAAAGGGCGUGUAGGCGGAAAGGAAAGUUAGAUGUCAAAUCUUGGGGCUCAACCCCAAGCCGGCAUCUAAUACUAUCUUUCUAGAGGUUAGAUGGAGAAAAGGGAAUUCCACGUGUAGCGGUGAAAUGCGUAGAUAUGUGGAAGAACACCAGUGGCGAAGGCGCUUUUCUAAUUUAUUCCUGACGCUAAGGCGCGAAAGCAAGGGGAGCAAACAGGAUUAGAUACCCUGGUAGUCCUUGCCGUAAACGAUGCAUACUUGAUGUGGAUGGUCUCAACCCCAUCCGUGUCGUAGCUAACGCGUUAAGUAUGCCGCCUGAGGAGUACACUCGCAAGGGUGAAACUCAAAAGAAUUGACGGGGGCCCGCACAAGCAGUGGAGCAUGUGGUUUAAUUCGAUGCAACGCGAAGGACCUUACCUGGGCUUGACAUGUAUUUGAUCGCGGCAGAAAUGUCGUUUUCCGCAAGGACAAAUACACAGGUGCUGCAUGGCUGUCGUCAGCUCGUGCCGUGAGGUGUUGGGUUAAGUCCCGCAACGAGCGCAACCCUUAUCGUUAGUUGCCAGCACUUUGGGUGGGAACUCUAACGAGACUGCCUGGGUUAACCAGGAGGAAGGCGAGGAUGACGUCAAGUCAGCAUGGCCCUUAUGUCCAGGGCGACACACGUGCUACAAUGGAUAGUACAGAAGGUAGCAAGAUCGUGAGAUGGAGCAAAUCCUUAAAGCUGUCCUCAGUUCGGAUUGUAGUCUGCAACUCG
RNAcentral lists this ribosomal RNA (1171 nucleotides) under uncultured Chlamydia sp. RNAcentral's name for it is "bacterial SSU rRNA". It matches the Rfam family "Bacterial small subunit ribosomal RNA", at positions 161 to 1314 of the family's 1533-position model. The record is from RNAcentral. Lineage: Bacteria; Pseudomonadati; Chlamydiota; Chlamydiia; Chlamydiales; Chlamydiaceae.